Molecule: ribosomal RNA, 497 nt
Filed under: uncultured bacterium
Lineage: Bacteria
Description: partial 16S ribosomal RNA
Rfam family: Bacterial small subunit ribosomal RNA
Source: RNAcentral
GAUGAACGCUGGCGGCGUGCCUAAUACAUGCAAGUCGAGCGAAAAGACGAGGAGCUUGCUCCUCUGACGUUAGCGGCGGACGGGUGAGUAACACGUGGAUAACCUCCCUAUAUGACUGGGAUCACCUCGGGACACCGGCGCUAAUACCGGAUAAUAUCUUGAUCCGCAUGGUUCAAUAGUGAAAGACGGUUUUGGUGUCACUUCUCGCUGGAUCCGCGCCGCAUUAGCUAGUUGGUACGGUCACGGCGUACCAAGGCUACGAUGCGUAGCCGACCUGAGAGAGUGGUCGGCCACACGGGAACGGAGACGCGGUCAAGACGCCUACGGGAGGCAGCAGUAGGGAAUCGGCCGCAGUGGGCGAAAGCCUGGCGGAGCAGGGCGGCGUGAGUGAUGAAGGUGUUCGGAUCGUAAAACUCUGUUAUGGGGUAUGAACAAAUUUGGAAUGAGCUAUGCACGGCUUGACGGUACCGAAUCAGAAAGCCACGGCUAACUACGUG